RNAcentral lists this ribosomal RNA (897 nucleotides) under Colletotrichum coccodes. RNAcentral describes it as "LSU rRNA". It matches the Rfam family "Eukaryotic large subunit ribosomal RNA", at positions 37 to 965 of the family's 3401-position model. Lineage: Eukaryota; Fungi; Ascomycota; Sordariomycetes; Glomerellales; Glomerellaceae. The record is from RNAcentral.
AGCAUAUCAAUAAGCGGAGGAAAAGAAACCAACAGGGAUUGCCCCAGUAACGGCGAGUGAAGCGGCAACAGCUCAAAUUUGAAAUCUGGCCCCAGGCCCGAGUUGUAAUUUGCAGAGGAUGCUUUUGGCGCGGUGCCUUCCGAGUUCCCUGGAACGGGACGCCAUAGAGGGUGAGAGCCCCGUACGGUUGGACACCAAGCCUUUGUAAAGCUCCUUCGACGAGUCGAGUAGUUUGGGAAUGCUGCUCAAAAUGGGAGGUAUAUUUCUUCUAAAGCUAAAUAUUGGCCAGAGACCGAUAGCGCACAAGUAGAGUGAUCGAAAGAUGAAAAGCACUUUGAAAAGAGGGUUAAACAGCACGUGAAAUUGUUGAAAGGGAAGCGCUUGUGACCAGACUUGCGCCCGGUGAAUCACCCAGCUCUCGCGGCUGGGGCACUUUGCCGGCACAGGCCAGCAUCAGCUUGCCGUCGGGGACAAAAGCUUCGGGAACGUAGCUCUCUUCGGGGAGUGUUAUAGCCCGUUGCAUAAUACCCUUCGGCGGGCUGAGGUACGCGCUCCGCAAGGAUGCUGGCGUAAUGGUCAUCAGCGACCCGUCUUGAAACACGGACCAAGGAGUCAACCUUAUGUGCGAGUGUUUGGGUGUUAAACCCCUACGCGUAAUGAAAGUGAACGCAGGUGAGAGCUUCGGCGCAUCAUCGACCGAUCCUGAUGUUCUCGGAUGGAUUUGAGUAAGAGCAUAUAGGGUUGGACCCGAAAGAAGGUGAACUAUGCGUGUAUAGGGUGAAGCCAGAGGAAACUCUGGUGGAGGCUCGCAGCGGUUCUGACGUGCAAAUCGAUCGUCAAAUAUGCGCAUGGGGGCGAAAGACUAAUCGAACCUUCUAGUAGCUGGUUUCCCCCAAU